This 74-nucleotide transfer RNA is filed under the name Gloeochaete wittrockiana. RNAcentral describes it as "tRNA-Asn". It matches the Rfam family "tRNA". Rfam says of the family: Transfer RNA (tRNA) molecules are approximately 80 nucleotides in length. Their secondary structure includes four short double-helical elements and three loops (D, anti-codon, and T loops). Lineage: Eukaryota; Glaucocystophyceae; Gloeochaetales; Gloeochaetaceae. The record is from RNAcentral.
UUCCUAAUAGCUCAACUGGUUAGAGCGAGUGACUGUUAAUCACUAGGUUAUUGGUUCGAGUCCAAUUUAGGAAG